GAAGAAAUCUGGACCAGAUAAACACCAACAUCAGCUCCAUACGUCGUGUGUCCCUUCAUUUAAAAAGCAACUCGACUCAAGUGAAUUGAUCACUGAAGGGUGACGGAAUCCAGUUCAAGUGGACAAAUAAAAGUGAGCAGUCAUGGAUUUCUUCAAGGCAGUGGGUGCUGUGGCAUCAGGUGUGGCAGAGGGCACAGUGGGCAUGGUCAGAGCCGUGGUGGAUGUUCCUGUAGGGAUGGUGAAAGGCGCCGCUAACAGUAUGAAAGAAGCUGGUGAUAAAAUCACCAGUGUCAGUUCACCGGGUGAAGGUGUUGAUGCUGUGUUCGGUCUCAUCGCCUCUCCAGUGACCGGCGCAUUGUCCGGAGGAACAAAAGAGAUCAUCAAAGCGCCUGGAAAAGUAGUGCAGGGCAUCGCAGAUGGCAUUGAGAAAGUUUUAGAUGACUAAUUUAGAGCGGAGAGAUUUGUUUGAAUAAAUCACUAUAAACAAUCAGCUUUUCCCCUCUUUAUUUCUCUUUAUCCUUUAGUAAUUGCAACAGCAAGAAUAUUUUUCACAGACAUGAUGCUGAAGAUGUUGAUCGUUAAUAUGUUAUAAAUGUUCACUUAGCAACAACAGUCUGUCUGUAUUGGAAUGAAAUAUGUGCAAUUGGGAUUUGAACUUGUUUUCUUGAACUUGAAUUUCAUAAACCUGAAAUGAACUAUUAAUAAACGAGAGUUUUUAGAGUUUGCAUCAGGGCAGAACAAGUAACUGACUCUAGAGAGAGGUGGCGGCUCUCGUUCAUUCAUGAUCUCACAUUGGCACUAUUUCACAGCGAACGCCUCCUUUUCUUACGGAGAACUGUGUUGUGAUUGGCCAAGAAGGAGUUUGAUUAAAUACAGGCUCGAUUGCUCUUCUUGAGUGCCCCAGAAUCUGAAUAUAAAACCUCAAUCAGUGUAUUAAAAAUGUUUUAUCAAUUCGUUCCACGUACAGUGUUCAUAACAACAUGUUCAAAUUCAAGUCCCAAUGGCACAUAUUUCAUCCCAUAGUCUGGAACGACAGGAUGUAUUUACUUUUUUAUUGUUAUGGAUAUUUCAAUAAAAACUCU
Long non-coding RNA from Xyrauchen texanus (razorback sucker), 1082 nucleotides. RefSeq lists it as uncharacterized. Lineage: Eukaryota; Metazoa; Chordata; Actinopteri; Cypriniformes; Catostomidae. The transcript has 3 exons. The record is from RefSeq and is a predicted model, not a curated record.